UGGCUGACGAGUGGCGGACGGGUGAGUAACGCGUAGGAAUCUACCUAGUAGUGGGGGACAACCUGGUGAAAACCAGGCUAAUACCGCAUACGCCCUACGGGGGAAAACAGGGGAUCUUCGGACCUUGUGCUAUGAGAUGAGCCUGCGUUAGAUUAGCUAGUUGGUAGGGUAAAGGCCUACCAAGGCGACGAUCUAUAGCUGGUCUGAGAGGACGAUCAGCCACACUGGGACUGAGACACGGCCCAGACUCC
This 251-nucleotide ribosomal RNA is filed under the name uncultured bacterium. RNAcentral's name for it is "partial 16S ribosomal RNA". It matches the Rfam family "Bacterial small subunit ribosomal RNA", at positions 85 to 339 of the family's 1533-position model. The record is from RNAcentral.